AAACAGCCCCCUAUGUUUUGAUUCUUUGGCAGUUUUGAACCCCCAAGGCAAAAAAAAAAAAAAAAAAAAAAAAAUUGACAUGUGGCACCUCACUUAGGGUGCCACGUCAGCGUUGACCGAGUCAACAAUGGACUGGGGGUCCAAAACUGCCAAAGAAUCAAAACAUAGGGGGCUGUUU
Molecule: microRNA precursor, 178 nt
Organism: Medicago truncatula (barrel medic)
Lineage: Eukaryota; Viridiplantae; Streptophyta; Magnoliopsida; Fabales; Fabaceae
Rfam family: MIR2619 microRNA precursor family
Source: Rfam